UACUCUGAAAGCAUACAUUCAAAAACAUAUUUCUUCCCUAGGAGACAUUACAAGUUGAAGUAAGUGUUGCUACUGCACAUCAGCCACCAAUGACUCAAUUGAUAGUGCAAAUAAUUGCUGAAGAGAUGAUGCACAUGUUUUGAGUUCCUCCCAUGUUUACAUUUGACCAACUUGAAGGAGGGGGACUAGUCUAGUGCUGGAUCACAUACAUGUUUUGAGUUACUCCCAUGUCUACAUUUGACCAACUUGAAGGAGGGGGACUAGUCUAGUGCUGGAUCACAUACAUGUUUUGAGUUACUCCCAUGUCUACAUUUGACCAACUUGAAGGAGGGGGACUAGUCUAGUGGUCGAGCUGGAUCACAUACAUGUUUUGAGUUACUCCCAUGUCUACAUUUGACCAACUUGAAGGAGGGGGACUAGUCUAGUGGUCGAGCUGGAUCACAUACAUGUUUUGAGUUACUCCCAUGUCUACAUUUGACCAACUUGAAGGAGGGGGACUAGUCUAGUGGUCGAGCUGGAUCACAUACAUGUUUUGAGUUACUCCCAUGUCUACAUUUGACCAACUUGAAGGAGGGGGACUAGUCUAGUGGUCGAGCUGGAUCACAUACAUGUUUUGAGUUACUCCCAUGUCUACAUUUGACCAACUUGAAGGAGGGGGACUAGUCUAGUGGUCGAUCACAUACAGCUUCUAUAAGAAUUCACACCCAUUGGAUUCUUUUCACAUUUUGUUGUGUUACAAAGUGGGAUUUGAAACAGUUAUUUUUUUUAGGGGAUUUGAAACAGUUAUUUUUUUUAGGGGAGGUCACAAACUCUACAUAAUGUCAAAGUGAAAGGAAAAGAUGUAAUUGAGCUGAGCCCGAUUUUUUUUUAAACUUUAAAAUGCCAAACAAAAAAACAUUGAUUUAUACAUUUUAACAUAGCAACCAACUCUAUGCACAAUUACUAUUUUUAACAAUUUACACAAUUAUUAUUAUUAUUUUUAAAUUACACAUUUACUGGAAAAACUGUGCAGAUGCAAAGUUUGGUAUGAGAAUUACAGUAAAAUGUCCAAAAGGUUUUAAUCUGUUACAUUUCAUAUCUGCACAGUUCUUCCUGGGUCGUUCCACUUGAUUUGAAUCACCUUUUGAUUUGAACAUAACUUGCCAUACAUAUUUGCCCAUGGUAGAAGUGGUCAGAAAGUUACUUUUUGGAACUGAAUGUCAAAACAUUAUGAAGAUAGGGGUAUUAAAAGUUGACCUAUUUUGACCUCACUACCAUGAGACAGCCAUAUUUUCCUCAUUGGAAAAGAUAAACGGUUGAGUUUGAUAUCAUUGGAAAGCUUACAAACUAUUAUAGAAUUUGUGUGGUGUAUCAAUACACCCAGUCAAUACAAGGAUAAAGGCAUCCUUCUUAACUCAGUUGCCAGAGAGGAAGGAAACUGCUCAAGGAUUUCACCAUGAGGCCAAUGGUGACUUUAAAACAGUUACAGAGUUUAAUGGCUGUGAUAGGAGAAAACUGAGGAUGGAUUAACAACAUUGUAGUUACUCCACAAUACUAAUCUAAUUGACAGAGUGAAAAGAAGGAAGCCUGUACAGAAUAUUCCUAAACAUGCAUCCUGUUUGCAACAAAGGCACUAAAGUAAAACUGCAAAAAAUGUGACAAAGGAAUAACCGUUUUUUCCAGAAUAGAAAGUGUUAGGUUUGGGGCAAAUCAAACCCAACACAUCCCUGAGUACCACUCUCCAUAUUUUCAAGCAUGAUGGUGGCUGCAUCAUGUUACUGGUAUGCUUGUCAUCGACAAGGGCGAGGGAGUUUUUCAGGGGGGAAAAAUGGAAUGGAGCUGAGCACAGGCACAAUCAUAGAGGGAAAACCUGAUUCAGUCCUGCUUUCCACCAGACACUGGGAGAUGAAUUUACCUUUCAGCAAGACAACCUAAAACGCAAGGUCAAAUCUACACUGCAGUCACUUACCAAGAAGACAGUAAACAUUCCUGAGUGGCCUAGUUACAGUUUUGACAUAUAAUUGCUUAGACAUAUAUUGUGAGACUAGAAAAUGGCUGUCUAGCGAUGAUCAACAACCAAAUUGACUGAGCUUGAAUAAUUUUUUGAAGAAUAAUAGGCAAGUAUUGCACCAUUCAGAUGUGCAAACGCUCCUAUAGACUUAGGAUGGCCAACAAAUACUAAUUGUAAUUGUUGCUAAAUUAAUUUGUUUAUAGCAUGUGUUGACUCAGGGGAGUGGGGAAUACUUAUCUAGUCAAGAUAUAGUGUUUUAUUUUUCAAUAAUUCUUAAAAGAUGUUCCAUCACAUACAUAAUAAAAUAUAUAAUCACAAGUUCAUUUACAAAAUAUACCCCAAAACGCAAUUGUGUCAUUCAUUUGGAAUGGAUAACAUUGCUUAGUUCAUCAUCAACAAUAAUUCAUAUAUUUGCCAGUUUUAUGUACAAUUGAUUAACACUUUGCGUGAUGAUCCCUUCCAAGACAGUUUGAAGAAUAUUUCUCCAUAAAUAAUGUAAUGAGAAAUCAUACCACAUAAUGAAAACAAAUCAAAAUGUUACCAGUUCAACUGAAAAAAAAAACAUACUCCAUAUAGUUUUGCAUAUGUUCCAGACAAUUAUGUGUAGCUCGUUGACAAUUUUUAAAUUUUAAAACCAUUUUAAUACCACUUUGUAACACAAAAUGUGAAGAGGGGCGAAUACUUACAAUAGGCACUGGAGGCAGUGGUUGGAUGCACAUUUACGACACCCACUUUCUCUACUGUAUCAUCUAUCUCCCUAUAUACAGUGCAACCCUAAAUCUGUCAAUAAAAAUAAAAUUAAAAUACCUUAAAAAAAAUAUUAUAAUUAUAAUUUGCUACCUGAAGCUUCAAACUUUGAAUGCUGAUGUUGUGCUCUCCCUCUCU
This is a long non-coding RNA of Oncorhynchus keta (chum salmon), 2875 nucleotides long. RefSeq lists it as uncharacterized. NCBI's taxonomy places the organism in Eukaryota, Metazoa, Chordata, Actinopteri, Salmoniformes, Salmonidae. The transcript has 3 exons. The record is from RefSeq and is a predicted model, not a curated record.